AUGAGCAGGCAUACAUGGAGGCAGAACGCAGGCACGCCACGGGCCUGAAGCAGGGCUGCCACACGCCACCAUUCGACAACUCAAGGGCACCAUUCAUUCAUGCAGGCUGUCCUGACAAAAUGCCAAGUUAGCAAAAUAAGGUAUGUUUGUUUUUUUUUUUUUAAUAAUCGCUUCUUUUAGAUAAAUGUGCAAUCUUCCUUUAUAAAAGCUUUUUGUGAGAAGUUUCUUAUCUCAUGUAGCACACACCACGGUUGUAUCACCUAAGCCAUGGCAAUCUGCAAUAAGAUAAGUACAGAGAGUAAAACAGUGUUUAGAUACAAUUAUAGCAAUUUGAUAUUGCUGUGGCAAAUUUAUAUUUCUCAAAAGUGCUGGUCUGCAGUGCACUGGGAAAACAAAAACGAAAAACUGAUCCUUCACACAGAGCUGGUGAAGUAGUGACCUAAACUCCGCUUGUAAUUAAAGAAUGGUUGCACUACAUCUAAAUGUCUAUUCUAUCUACUCAUACCUAUUUUAUACUAUCUUAUAGAUCUAACUCCCCGACCCCUUUCCCCAACAGUGGCAGUGUUCCUGUAAUUAAGGCACACGGGGUUUGGUGGGUUACAUAAUUCCCAUGUUAUCUUCCAAGCCCUUCCACAUCGACUGGCAAAACCACCAGUGUGAAGAGUCUGAGGACACUAUAGGCGCAGAAAGAUCCUCCCUUCCCACCAUGCCCCAACCUGAACAGCUGCUUUCACUAUCUUCCUUUCUCCUUUCCCUGGGGGGCUCUAAGAGAACUCUGGGAAAAUGCAAUUAAGUUCAAGAGAUAAUCUAAUUUCUCAUUAGCCUUGAGGUAGCUUAUCAGCAUUCCAGGGCCUAACAAAAAAGAACCAGAGACUCAACAAUGCCACAGAUUCCACUGGGUUCCAAUUCCCAAGGUUGCUUAAGUAUCAGUAAACAAGCGCUGCUAGAGUGUAGAGCAGGAGGGGCAAGUGGCUGGAAAUGAGCCAGGAGCAGUACUUGCUCUGUUCACUUGGAUUAUUCAUAAUGAAUCACAGGGAAGAACCCAUUUUAUUAUAAUACUAGUGUGGGCACUGAGAGAUAACAGGUGCAUGAAGUGACUUGGAGGCCCCCUAAAUGGCUUCCAUCCCACCCAAGGAACAAGCCUGGACAAAAGCCCCCAGGCCUGUGCCCUGGCAUCUCAGAGAACCUCCUUAGGUCCCAGUCCCACCUUCCAUCCUGUCUUCCCACCUCCCUUGCUCAAGACUGACACCUCUCGUUUCAUCCUGUUGCCUCAGUCAAAUUCUCUUUCUGACCCUUGAUUUCAGCCUCACCCUGGGUGUCAUCCUUCUGACUAACUCUUCAUGUCAAGCUCUGCAGUCCUGAAGCCAUUUCUUUUCUUUUCUUUUUUCUUUUUUUUUUUUUUUUGAUGGAGUAUCACUCUGUCAUCCAGGCUUGGAGUGUACAGUGGUGCAAUCUUGGCUCACCGCAACUUUGCGUCCCUGGUUCAAGUGAUUCCUCCGCCUCGGCCUCCCAAGUAGCUGAGACUACAGGCACACGCCACAACGCCCAGCUAAUUUUUAUAUUUUUAGCAGAGACAGGGUUUUGUCAUGUUGGCCAGGCUGGUCUUGAACUCCUGACCUCAGGUGAUCCACCUGCCUUGGCCUCCCAAAGUGCUGGGAACACAGGCGUGAGCCACCAUGCCCGGCCUCAAGAAUCUGUUCUUCAUGGGUUAUCUACUGUUUCAUUACAACAAUCAUCUUGUGAGUUAGGUAUUAUCCCCAUUUUAUACCCAGAGAAACUAAGCCUUAGAAAGGUAACUAAGGAUACACACACACAGAGACACUUUUAAUACGUAGAUAGGUGAGUAACAGAGCUAGUACUCUAACCCUGGUCUGAUUCCAGAGCCUAUACAGCCUCUCCUGGUAAGGCAGAUGUUAACAUUUUGAAGCAAUGGUAAAUUAAAGGAUGAAAUAACUCCUGGCCUUAAGUCCCUGCUAUCCAUAGCCAGUGGGCAUCUGCUCACUCCAUGCCAUAGGUGCUUGAUGGCAGAGGCAAACUGCAUAGCAACAUAUGGUGAAAAUGGACUUUUUACAGUAAUACUGAAUAGAAAUACCUAGAAUAGUCUCUCUCCUUAUAGUCCUCGUAAAACCUAUGUUAUAAACCUUAAAGACAGCACAAAUAGUACCCUUCCUGUGAGGCAGGCCCUGGAAAAACUGUAUGUUUUCUCCUUUUCACUUUGAGGAUAUUACGGCAUUUACUACACUAUGAGUCAUCAUCAGCUUCCCUGCUAGACUGCGCACUUCGUAAGAACUGUAUCUUAUUAUUCGUGGCAUCCCCAGCACUGUACCUGACACACAAGAGGGACUCGGUAAAUGUUUGCUGAAUAAACUAGUAUAUUAAUUAAAGUAGUAUUCUCCCAAUAUGUAUUCCCAAGUAUUGGUGAUUAACAGGCUUAUUAAAAAUGAAGCUAAUUUCAAAAAACAAAAUAUGAAUGUAACUAUAAUUAUACCAGCAAAUUGGUUUGACAAUAUAGAAAUGACCUCUGGAAAAAAAUAGUUUGGGGGUUAAAAGCUGUUAUCGUCAAAUAACCUUAAAGUAGAAACAAUGAACACCAAGGCUACAAGAUAUUUCCCAAACAAAACAAAAGGAAGCAUAUGUUCCGUGAAUCAAGGAAGCAUAUGUUCCUUGAAUCAGAUUCAAGACAAGAUGUGAACUUCUGCUAUUUCACUAAUUUCUUGGGGAAUAAUCAUUUCUGUUCAGGGUGAUUUCACUGAGAUUUGUAAUAUCACAUUUUACACAGUAGGUGUGUGAGAUUGAAAUUUAAAGAUUAAUUUCACCUGUGAAUUAUUCUACAUCAUAGUUUACAGAAAAUUAUAAAAUUUUAGUUCUGUUAAAAAUAUACCACAAAAUUAUAUGUUCAUACUAUGGCAAAAAAUUAAAGAGUGGUUAACUACAUGAGAAAAGAAAAUCCUUCUAUUAUAAGAAAUAAUUACUUAUUAGAACAAGUAAUUGCUUUCAAGUAGUCCUUGAAAGCAAUAGUAAAUGUCAAUGCAAAGAUUUCAUGGACGUCGGUGGGGCAUACUGAACAAACAGCAGCUGUGCUAAUGCCAUCUAUGAAUGCAUAACAGGCGGU
RNAcentral lists this long non-coding RNA (3112 nucleotides) under Homo sapiens (human). RNAcentral describes it as "non-protein coding lnc-COG5-2:9". The record is from RNAcentral. Lineage: Eukaryota; Metazoa; Chordata; Mammalia; Primates; Hominidae.